GAUGAACGCUAGCGGGAGGCCUAACACAUGCAAGCCGAGCGGUAGAGUUUCUUCGGAAACUUGAGAGCGGCGCACGGGUGCGUAACACGUGUGCAACCUACCUUUAUCUGGGGGAUAGCCUUUCGAAAGGAAGAUUAAUACCCCAUAAUAUAAUGAUUGGCAUCAAUUAUUAUUGAAAACUCCGGUGGAUAGAGAUGAGCACGCGCAAGAUUAGAUAGUUGGUGAGGUAACGGCUCACCAAGUCAAUGAUCUUUAGGGGUCCUGAGAGGGAGAUCCCCCACACUGGUACUGAGACACGGACCAGACUCCUACGGGAGGCAGCAGUGAGGAAUAUUGAACAAUGGGUGAGAGCCUGAUCCAGCCAUCCCGCGUGAAGGAUGACGGUCCUAUGGAUUGUAAACUUCUUUUGUACAGGGAUAAACCUACCCUCGUGAGGGUAGCUGAAGGUACUGUACGAAUAAGCACCGGCUAACUCCGUG
Molecule: ribosomal RNA, 479 nt
Filed under: uncultured bacterium
Lineage: Bacteria
Description: partial 16S ribosomal RNA
Rfam family: Bacterial small subunit ribosomal RNA
Source: RNAcentral